CCUACGGGAGGCAGCAGUGGGGAAUAUUGCACAAUGGGCGCAAGCCUGAUGCAGCCAUGCCGCGUGUGUGAAGAAGGCCUUCGGGUUGUAAAGCACUUUCAGCGGGGAGGAAGGCGGUGAGGUUAAUAACCUCACCGAUUGACGUUACCCGCAGAAGAAGCAACGGCUAACUCCGUGCCAGCAGCCGCGGUAAUACGGAGGGUGCAAGCGUUAAUCGGAAUUACUGGGCGUAAAGCGCACGCAGGCGGUCUGUCAAGUCGGAUGUGAAAUCCCCGGGCUCAACCGGGGAACUGCAUUCGAAACUGGCAGGCUAGAGUCUUGUAGAGGGGGGUAGAAUUCCAGGUGUAGCGGUGAAAUGCGUAGAGAUCUGGAGGAAUACCGGUGGCGAAGGCGGCCCCCUGGACAAAGACUGACGCUCAGGUGCGAAAGCGUGGGGAGCAAACAGGAUUAGAUACCCCUGUAGUC
RNAcentral lists this ribosomal RNA (465 nucleotides) under uncultured Klebsiella sp. RNAcentral's name for it is "bacterial SSU rRNA". It matches the Rfam family "Bacterial small subunit ribosomal RNA", at positions 338 to 795 of the family's 1533-position model. Lineage: Bacteria; Pseudomonadati; Pseudomonadota; Gammaproteobacteria; Enterobacterales; Enterobacteriaceae. The record is from RNAcentral.